AGAGAUUGUAAUUUUGUGAAAAAAGCGUGAUCCGGCCCAGAGGAGAUUCCGAAGGUCUUGGAAAUCAGCGGCGAGCGCAACCUCAUCGACAACUUCUCCUACCACGUGUAAUAAUCACGAUCAAUGGCACCAUCUACACUUAACCAACAUAGGUCGGUUGCAGCCCUACAUCACGUCCCUACAAAGUUUCCUUUCGUGUUAUUUGAUGACGUUGAGAGCGAUGACUUACCAAAAUUUAAGAGUAUCGUAGCCAGAAUUGUUGUUAAGUUCCCUAGACGUCAUGACAGCCAACAUUUUAUUCUACAAGACAUCACUGGGUCAAAAAUAGAAGCAAUUUCAUACCGCCAUAAUGUCCAAAGAUUUGACACCUUACUCCAACAAGGAUCUACAUAUACAUUAUAUGGAGUGGCGUUCUAUGUAAGCUGGGGGCCGUAUCUAUUUCGGAAUUUUGGACAUAGGCUAGAAUUGACCUUGGCAACUCGGACUGUUGUGGAACCAUUCCACUUGCCAAUUCAGUUCCCGCCGUAUCCAAAACAUCUUAUGCCAUUUCAUGAGGUCCUCCAACAACCUCAUAAGAGGUUUAUAGAUGUAAUAGGAAUUGUCAUUCAUUUGGCGCCGUUAGAGCACAUCGGUGGAAGGCCGUACAGAGAGGCCAUACUAAUGGAUUCCAGGUGGGAUAUAAUCGUCGUGGGUAUAUGGCCUGAACUGUUGCAAAGAAAUGCUCUACGGUGGGUGUUAGCUAGAGACAAC
This 750-nucleotide unclassified non-coding RNA is filed under the name Zea mays. RNAcentral describes it as "misc RNA Zm00001eb286520". Lineage: Eukaryota; Viridiplantae; Streptophyta; Magnoliopsida; Poales; Poaceae. The record is from RNAcentral.